RNAcentral lists this small nuclear RNA (173 nucleotides) under Castor canadensis (American beaver). RNAcentral's name for it is "U2 spliceosomal RNA (ENSCCNG00000018200.1)". The stretch from base 1 to 102 matches the Rfam family "U2 spliceosomal RNA". Rfam says of the family: U2 is a small nuclear RNA (snRNA) component of the spliceosome (involved in pre-mRNA splicing). The record is from RNAcentral. Lineage: Eukaryota; Metazoa; Chordata; Mammalia; Rodentia; Castoridae.
AUCACUUCUUGGCCUGUUGGCUAAGAUCAAGUGUAGUAUCUGCCCUUGUCAGUUUAAUAUCUGAUAUGUCCUCUAUUCAAAAUUCUGAGAUUCUGACUUAACUGAUCAAGGGUAGGACCUAGUCACUAGUAACUGUAAGAAUUUCCCUGAAGCAAAAGCUUAACAGGGCCUAA